GGUCGAUUGGUCUAGUGGUAUGAUUCUCGCUUAGGGAGUCGGAGCGCGAGUUCCUUCUCAAAAACCUAAGUCAAUUUGCGAGAGGUCCCGGGUUCGAUCCCCGGAUCGACCC
Molecule: transfer RNA, 112 nt
Filed under: Xylona heveae TC161
Lineage: Eukaryota; Fungi; Ascomycota; Xylonomycetes; Xylonales; Xylonaceae
Description: tRNA-Pro
Rfam family: tRNA
About the family: Transfer RNA (tRNA) molecules are approximately 80 nucleotides in length.
Source: RNAcentral